GUUUCUUGCUUCUUACAUAUUUGUCCUUUUGAUUGUUUUUAUGUUUGAUCAAAAAGUUUCAUACCGAAUAUUAAGAAAUUUGUUUACAUCUACGGUUGUGAUUGCAUCUGCUUGCAGAACGGUCAAUUUUACAUUAUCUAUAGAAGGCUGUGUACAUGAGAGGCGUGGCAUGCUAUUGGAAAUUAUAACAUACUGUAUAUGGCUUCUAAGCAAUUUGAAAGUUUAGGACACAAUAGGAAGUCAUAUUACGACGGUUUCCGAUUAUUGACAAAUCUCUAUUUUUCGAGGGCAGCAAAAUUAUUUUCUAGAACUGAUAGUUUCUUCAGCAAUUUUUUAGUUUGCUUCCUGUUACUUUAUAACUGAAUAUGAAUAUGUAGUUAGCUUAUUUUUCUUUUAUGUGAUAUGUGAGUAAAUAGCAGUUAGCUGCAUGGUUUACUAUGAUUUCAAGCUCAACUUUUGUGUUAUCUAGCUGCAGUGCUAGGACUGGUUGUUGCCCAAAGAGAUGAUAUGACCAUCAGUUUAUGGUCUUUUUGAGCUUGAUGUCUUCUGUAUUGGAGAAAUGAAGUCUUCGGCAUGUACACGGUGUAAACAAUCAUUGGAAAAGGCGAGAUGAAGAUAAGAGGAGCAUAUAGAAGUUUCUGAUUUGUAUAGGAGGCCUUGUUGAUGAGACUCAGAAUGGAUGCAUAAUGGUCCUGGCUACUGGCGAGCUUGAAGCAAGUGGUGCGUGUUGUGACUCCCAUUGUGGCGCUGUAGUCGACUCCAUCAAUUCAAAUUCUGAAGAUAACAUGUAGCCUGAAUCCAAGAGGGAACAAAUCCAGUUGUUCCAAGACUGCGUUCUGUUUUGCAUAUUUUGUUGACAGUUUGCAUCUCUGCCAUGUUCAUCUUGGAUUAUGAUUUCUUUUUCAUCUGCUCCCACUUAUAUAUGUAUUAUAAGUCCUUCGAAGUACACAGAAUAAAUCAGACAUUCUGAAAUCUUUAGUAUACAACUGCAAUUUCAUCUUGGAUUAUGA
This is a long non-coding RNA of Triticum dicoccoides, 1010 nucleotides long. RefSeq lists it as uncharacterized. NCBI's taxonomy places the organism in Eukaryota, Viridiplantae, Streptophyta, Magnoliopsida, Poales, Poaceae. The transcript is spliced from 2 exons. The record is from RefSeq and is a predicted model, not a curated record.